This 1552-nucleotide ribosomal RNA is filed under the name Salmonella enterica subsp. enterica serovar Weslaco. RNAcentral's name for it is "bacterial SSU rRNA". It matches the Rfam family "Bacterial small subunit ribosomal RNA". Lineage: Bacteria; Pseudomonadati; Pseudomonadota; Gammaproteobacteria; Enterobacterales; Enterobacteriaceae. The record is from RNAcentral.
AAAUUGAAGAGUUUGAUCAUGGCUCAGAUUGAACGCUGGCGGCAGGCCUAACACAUGCAAGUCGAACGGUAACAGGAAGCAGCUUGCUGCUUUGCUGACGAGUGGCGGACGGGUGAGUAAUGUCUGGGAAACUGCCUGAUGGAGGGGGAUAACUACUGGAAACGGUGGCUAAUACCGCAUAACGUCGCAAGACCAAAGAGGGGGACCUUCGGGCCUCUUGCCAUCAGAUGUGCCCAGAUGGGAUUAGCUUGUUGGUGAGGUAACGGCUCACCAAGGCGACGAUCCCUAGCUGGUCUGAGAGGAUGACCAGCCACACUGGAACUGAGACACGGUCCAGACUCCUACGGGAGGCAGCAGUGGGGAAUAUUGCACAAUGGGCGCAAGCCUGAUGCAGCCAUGCCGCGUGUAUGAAGAAGGCCUUCGGGUUGUAAAGUACUUUCAGCGGGGAGGAAGGUGUUGUGGUUAAUAACCACAGCAAUUGACGUUACCCGCAGAAGAAGCACCGGCUAACUCCGUGCCAGCAGCCGCGGUAAUACGGAGGGUGCAAGCGUUAAUCGGAAUUACUGGGCGUAAAGCGCACGCAGGCGGUCUGUCAAGUCGGAUGUGAAAUCCCCGGGCUCAACCUGGGAACUGCAUUCGAAACUGGCAGGCUUGAGUCUUGUAGAGGGGGGUGGAAUUCCAGGUGUAGCGGUGAAAUGCGUAGAGAUCUGGAGGAAUACCGGUGGCGAAGGCGACCCCCUGGACAAAGACUGACGCUCAGGUGCGAAAGCGUGGGGAGCAAACAGGAUUAGAUACCCUGGUAGUCCACGCCGUAAACGAUGUCUACUUGGAGGUUGUGCCCUUGAGGCGUGGCUUCCGGAGCUAACGCGUUAAGUAGACCGCCUGGGGAGUACGGCCGCAAGGUUAAAACUCAAAUGAAUUGACGGGGGCCCGCACAAGCGGUGGAGCAUGUGGUUUAAUUCGAUGCAACGCGAAGAACCUUACCUGGUCUUGACAUCCACGGAAGUUUUCAGAGAUGAGAAUGUGCCUUCGGGAACCGUGAGACAGGUGCUGCAUGGCUGUCGUCAGCUCGUGUUGUGAAAUGUUGGGUUAAGUCCCGCAACGAGCGCAACCCUUAUCCUUUGUUGCCAGCGAUUAGGUCGGGAACUCAAAGGAGACUGCCAGUGAUAAACUGGAGGAAGGUGGGGAUGACGUCAAGUCAUCAUGGCCCUUACGACCAGGGCUACACACGUGCUACAAUGGCGCAUACAAAGAGAAGCGACCUCGCGAGAGCAAGCGGACCUCAUAAAGUGCGUCGUAGUCCGGAUUGGAGUCUGCAACUCGACUCCAUGAAGUCGGAAUCGCUAGUAAUCGUGGAUCAGAAUGCCACGGUGAAUACGUUCCCGGGCCUUGUACACACCGCCCGUCACACCAUGGGAGUGGGUUGCAAAAGAAGUAGGUAGCUUAACCUUCGGGAGGGCGCUUACCACUUUGUGAUUCAUGACUGGGGUGAAGUCGUAACAAGGUAACCGUAGGGGAACCUGCGGUUGGAUCACCUCCUUACCUGAAAGAA